This 226-nucleotide unclassified non-coding RNA is filed under the name Hevea brasiliensis (rubber tree). Lineage: Eukaryota; Viridiplantae; Streptophyta; Magnoliopsida; Malpighiales; Euphorbiaceae. The record is from RNAcentral.
GUUGGCAAAACGGUAGGCACAAGCAUCACGAGUGGAGCAUUGCGCAACAGGCUAUUUGAUUGUUCACGUGGGGAUUGCAUUGGAAAGGGGGAAGUUCACGUGGACACUCUUUCUAUCUCAAUUUCUUUUAAGCUUCUCACCUUCUCCUUUUAUCAUUACCUAUUUUACUGAUGCAUUUUACCUUGUAAUUUCUGAUUCCAGAGACUUUAAUACAUCUACAAAAAAG